CUGAUGUCGUAAGGGAAAAUAAUGAUAAUACCUUACUAUGAGUGUCGUCCAAAUCUGGUGCCAGAAGACUCGGUAAGACCAGAGACGCGAACGUUAAUCAUCAUAAUCAGGCGUAAAGGGUUUGUAGGCAGCAUUCACCAUACUAUAAAUAAUAAAAUAAAGUAGUUUAAUUGAUUGCUAGAAUCAAAAAGAGGUUAUAGUGUAUAACGCCUAGAGGAGGGCUGAUAUCCAUAGAUCCUAGGCAGAAUACUAAGGGCGAAGGCCACUUUCCACUAAUGAUUGACGCUGAGAAACGAAGGUUAGGGUAGGAAAUAGGAUUAGAUACCCCGGUACUCCUUUCUGUAAACGAUGAAUGGUAGUCAUUAGUUAAAAAACUAGAGACGAAGUUAACACAAUAACCAUUCCGCCUUGUGAGUACUACU
RNAcentral lists this ribosomal RNA (422 nucleotides) under Hexagonia cucullata. RNAcentral's name for it is "SSU rRNA". It matches the Rfam family "Bacterial small subunit ribosomal RNA", at positions 430 to 887 of the family's 1533-position model. Lineage: Eukaryota; Fungi; Basidiomycota; Agaricomycetes; Polyporales; Polyporaceae. The record is from RNAcentral.